This 468-nucleotide ribosomal RNA is filed under the name uncultured bacterium. Its description in RNAcentral is "partial 16S ribosomal RNA". It matches the Rfam family "Bacterial small subunit ribosomal RNA", at positions 28 to 507 of the family's 1533-position model. The record is from RNAcentral.
GACGAACGCUGGCGGCGUGCUUAACACAUGCAAGUCGAACGGAAAGGCCCUGCUUUUGUGGGGUGCUCGAGUGGCGAACGGGUGAGUAACACGUGAGUAACCUGCCCUUGACUUUGGGAUAACUUCAGGAAACUGGGGCUAAUACCGGAUAGGAGCUCCUGCUGCAUGGUGGGGGUUGGAAAGUUUCGGCGGUUGGGGAUGGACUCGCGGCUUAUCAGCUUGUUGGUGGGGUAGUGGCUUACCUAGGCUUUGACGGGUAGCCGGCCUGAGAGGGUGACCGGCCACAUUGGGACUGAGAUACGGCCCAGACUCCUACGGGAGGCAGCAGUGGGGAAUAUUGCACAAUGGGCGGAAGCCUGAUGCAGCAACGCCGCGUGCGGGAUGACGGCCUUCGGGUUGUAAACCGCUUUCGCCUGUGACGAAGCGUGAGUGACGGUAAUGGGUAAAGAAGCACCGGCUAACUACGUG